Molecule: non-coding RNA, 96 nt
Organism: Pisolithus albus
Lineage: Eukaryota; Fungi; Basidiomycota; Agaricomycetes; Boletales; Pisolithaceae
Source: the annotation of a GenBank genome assembly
GCCCGCUUAGCUCAGUGGUAGAGCGCGUCACUUGUACCUGACAACACUAAAAUCAGGGAGAUGAUGAGGUCGGUUGUUCAAUCCAGCCAGUGGGCA